GUGCCAGCAGCCGCGGUAAUACGGAGGGUGCAAGCAUUAAUCGGAUUUAUUGGGCGUAAAGGGGGCGUAGGCGGAAAUAAAAGUCAGGCGUGAAAUUACGAGGCUCAACCUCGUAGCCGCACCUGAAACUCUAUUUCUAGAGGAUGGACGGAGAAAACGGAAUUCCACAAGUAGCGGUGAAAUGCGUAGAUAUGUGGAAGAACACCUGUGGCGAAGGCGGUUUUCUAGUUUAGACCUGACGCUAAGGCCCGAAAGCGAGGGGAGCAAACAGGAUUAGAUACCCUGGUAGUCCUCGCCGUAAACGAUGUAUACCUGGUGUAGUCGGACUCAACCCUGACUGUGCCGAAGCUAACGCGAUAAGUAUACCGCCUGGGGAGUACGCUCGCAAGGGUGAA
Molecule: ribosomal RNA, 395 nt
Filed under: uncultured bacterium
Lineage: Bacteria
Description: bacterial SSU rRNA
Rfam family: Bacterial small subunit ribosomal RNA
Source: RNAcentral